UACGAAGGGGGCUAGCGUUGCUCGGAAUGACUGGGCGUAAAGGGCGCGUAGGCGGCCCGGACAGUCGGAUGUGAAAUUCCUGGGCUCAACCUGGGGGCUGCAUCCGAGACGUCUGGGCUGGAGUGGGGAAGAGGGUCGUGGAAUUCCCAGUGUAGAGGUGAAAUUCGUAGAUAUUGGGAAGAACACCGGUGGCGAAGGCGGCGACCUGGUCCUUGACUGACGCUGAGGCGCGAAAGCGUGGGGAGCAAACAGG
Molecule: ribosomal RNA, 253 nt
Filed under: uncultured bacterium
Lineage: Bacteria
Description: partial 16S ribosomal RNA
Rfam family: Bacterial small subunit ribosomal RNA
Source: RNAcentral